RNAcentral lists this transfer RNA (106 nucleotides) under Annulohypoxylon maeteangense. RNAcentral's name for it is "tRNA-Ser". It matches the Rfam family "tRNA". Rfam says of the family: Transfer RNA (tRNA) molecules are approximately 80 nucleotides in length. Their secondary structure includes four short double-helical elements and three loops (D, anti-codon, and T loops). Lineage: Eukaryota; Fungi; Ascomycota; Sordariomycetes; Xylariales; Hypoxylaceae. The record is from RNAcentral.
GGCACUUUGGCGGAGUGGUUAACGCGAUGCCCUGCUAUAGGCUAAGUAAUUAGCAAUAGUCCAGGCAUUCCCUUCGGGGGCGUGUGUUCGAAUCACACAGGUGUCG